This 309-nucleotide ribosomal RNA is filed under the name Triticum aestivum (bread wheat). RNAcentral's name for it is "partial small subunit ribosomal RNA". Lineage: Eukaryota; Viridiplantae; Streptophyta; Magnoliopsida; Poales; Poaceae. The record is from RNAcentral.
AUGGAGUGGCGGCUGAUAGACACCCAAAGAAAAAGAAGCCCACCCCACCCUCGUCAGAAAACUCGGCGGCGUCUGCUAUGCAGCGCUGCCCUGCCAAAUGAGUGUGAUAAGCUGGAACUGCUGAGGGUUGGGAACCCUCAGACAGUUCAUGAGCUUCGCAAGAUUGUAAAGCAAGAAGGACCCGCCCUCUUGUUCUUAAUGGAAACCAAGAUAAAGGGCAAAAGAGUGGAAGAUUUAAUGUUUUCUUUAGGUUUUUCCGGUUGUUUUGCCGUUGAUAGCAACGGUCUUAGUUGUGGUGUUGGCCUUUUU